GCGCGGGUGGCGGAAUUGGUAGACGCGCUAGCUUGAGGUGCUAGUGCCCUAAUAAUGGGCGUGGGGGUUCAAGUCCCCCUCCGCGCA
This 87-nucleotide transfer RNA is filed under the name Brevibacterium yomogidense. Its description in RNAcentral is "tRNA-Leu-GAG". It matches the Rfam family "tRNA". From Rfam's summary of the family: Transfer RNA (tRNA) molecules are approximately 80 nucleotides in length. Their secondary structure includes four short double-helical elements and three loops (D, anti-codon, and T loops). Lineage: Bacteria; Bacillati; Actinomycetota; Actinomycetes; Micrococcales; Brevibacteriaceae. The record is from RNAcentral. RNAcentral also lists the same sequence under 1 other name.